GCAAGUCGAACGAGAACGGGAAAAGCUUGCUUUUCUGUCAGCUAAGUGGCGCACGGGUGAGUAAUGUAUAGCUAACUUGCCUUCUAGCAGGGGAUAACAUCGAGAAAUUGAUGCUAAUACCCUAUACUCCUUUCUACUUAAUGUAGUUUGGGAAAGAUUUAUCACUAGGAGAUAGGGCUAUAUCCCAUCAGCUUGUUGGUAGUGUAAGAGACUACCAAGGCUAUGACGGGUAGCUGGUUUGAGAGGAUGAUC
This 252-nucleotide ribosomal RNA is filed under the name uncultured bacterium. RNAcentral's name for it is "partial 16S ribosomal RNA". It matches the Rfam family "Bacterial small subunit ribosomal RNA", at positions 57 to 305 of the family's 1533-position model. The record is from RNAcentral.